UGGGGGAUAUUGCACAAUGGGCGCAAGCCUGAUGCAGCGACGCCGCGUGGGGGAUGAAGGCCUUCGGGUUGUAAACUUCUUUUGCUCUGAACAAGGCGCACUUUGGGGUGUGUUGAGUGUAGGGGUUGAUUAGCGCCGGCUAACUACGUGCCAGCAGCCGCGGUAAUACGUAGGGCGCGAGCGUUGUCCGGAAUUAUUGGGCGUAAAGGGCUUGUAGGUGGCUGGUUGCGUCUGUCGUGAAAGCUCAUGGCUUAACUGUGGGUUUGCGGUGGGUACGGGCUGGCUUGAGUGCAGUAGGGGAGGCUGGAAUUCCUGGUGUAGCGGUGGAAUGCGCAGAUAUCAGGAGGAAUACCGGUGGAGAAGGCGGGUCUCUGGGCUGUUACUGACACUGAGGAGCGAAAGCAUGGGGAGCGAACAGG
RNAcentral lists this ribosomal RNA (419 nucleotides) under bacterium. RNAcentral's name for it is "partial 16S ribosomal RNA". It matches the Rfam family "Bacterial small subunit ribosomal RNA", at positions 355 to 776 of the family's 1533-position model. The record is from RNAcentral.